RNAcentral lists this ribosomal RNA (254 nucleotides) under uncultured bacterium. RNAcentral's name for it is "partial 16S ribosomal RNA". It matches the Rfam family "Bacterial small subunit ribosomal RNA", at positions 524 to 776 of the family's 1533-position model. The record is from RNAcentral.
CACGGAGGCACCAAGCGUUGUCCGGAUUUAUUGUGCGUAAAGAGCUCGUAGGCGGUUCAGUAAGUCGGGUGUGAAAACUUUGGGCUUAACCCAAAGCGUGCAUCCGAUACUGCUGUGACUUGAGUUCGGUAGGGGAGUGGGGAAUUCCUAGUGUAGCGGUGAAAUGCGCAGAUAUUAGGAGGAACACCGGUGGCGAAGGCGCCACUCUGGGCCGAAACUGACGCUGAGGAGCGAAAGCAUGGGUAGCAAACAGG